This 498-nucleotide ribosomal RNA is filed under the name uncultured bacterium. Its description in RNAcentral is "partial 16S ribosomal RNA". It matches the Rfam family "Bacterial small subunit ribosomal RNA", at positions 28 to 507 of the family's 1533-position model. The record is from RNAcentral.
GACGAACGCUGGCGGCGUGCCUAAUACAUGCAAGUCGAACGAGAGCGCCCGGUGCUUGCACUGGUCAAUCUAGUGGCGAACGGGUGAGUAACACGUGGGUAACCUGCCCAUCAGAGGGGGAUAACAUCCGGAAACGGAUGCUAAAACCGCAUAGGUCUUCGAGCCGCAUGGCUUGAAGAGGAAAAGAGGCGCAAGCUUCUGCUGAUGGAUGGACCCGCGGUGCAUUAGCUAGUUGGUGAGGUAACGGCUCACCAAGGCCGUGAUGCAUAGCCGACCUGAGAGGGUGAUCGGCCACAUUGGGACUGAGACUCGGCCCAAACUCCUACGGGAGGCAGCAGUAGGGAAUCUUCCGCAAUGGACGCAAGUCUGACGGAGCAACGCCGCGUGAGUGAAGAAGGUUUUCGGAUCGUAAAACUCUGUUGUUAGAGAAGAACAAGUGCUAGAGUAACUGUUAGCGCCUUGACGGUAUCUAACCAGAAAGCCACGGCUAACUACGUG